RNAcentral lists this long non-coding RNA (4210 nucleotides) under Equus caballus (horse). RNAcentral describes it as "lncRNA (ENSECAG00000055045.1)". The record is from RNAcentral. Lineage: Eukaryota; Metazoa; Chordata; Mammalia; Perissodactyla; Equidae.
GGACAGAGCAGAGAGGAGGGUAUGCGCCCUCAGUGUCAAAGGCGUGUUGGCCUUUGUAUGUUCCAGAGUGCCUCCUGCCCGCUGGCCCAUCCAUGGCACUACCAGGGAUCAGCAUGGCUGGAGGAUAAAAGAUAACAAUGCAGAUGGUUGAGUGUGACAUGAGAACAUACGGCCCUCUGGCCAAGAUGAAAUUUUGACGAUGGGGACUGUUGCUGACUUGUGCAAUAGGAGUAUUUUGGACUUUGCUGCUGAGGAAUGCUUUGCUGUUUCUGCCUGAUUCUGUGCACUGACUUAGCCUGUGAAUAAUGGCUCGAGGAACAUUGGCUCUUUGCCCUCCUACGUUGUUGUGUAGUACAUUAACAUGAGGGAGUCUUCUGAGAGAGAACUGCUGUUGUCUCCGGGGAAUAAUCGCUCUUGGUUGAGGUGCCCAGUCACUCUUUCGUAUUGUUGAUGAGCUGUGUCCCCAUGGAGAGAAUGAUGAAAGCGAGCUGCUGUUGCUGCUGUUAUAUUUCCACAAACCACGCUGACACUUCUUCCUUCCACCAUCACAUGACUCAGUUGCCUUUUUCAAGUCGCCCAAAAAGCGCAUGAUGGCAAUGGCCGAAUGUGGGGUGUGGGAAAUUCUGGGUCCCUGGGGAGAAAUUGGCCAUGGCCCGCCGUCAGGCUUGCGUGCUCUGACAUGAAGGUGCUGAACAGAAUGUCGUCCACCAUGCAGGGCGAUGGCAUCUUAGGAGUCAUUAGGGAUGCUGAAUUUCUGGAUGGGAGUUGGGCUGGAGCUUUAGCCAAGCGUUUGCAUGUGAGCUGUCGGCACUCUUCCGCUGAGUACACUCUGCACAUUGGUAGGAAGAGGAGAGUCACUGGGCCCUGUCCAUGAACAGUAGAUGAGGCCGUGGACAUUUAGAUCCUCAUGGGUGUGUGCCGAUAAGGCUGGAUGUCCAGGAACGUGCCUGGCGAGCUCUCCAGGCUGGAGGAUUUUGCCCUCCUAUUCUUCAUUGCUGAAUAGGACAGCAUGUAGUCAGUGGCUCUGGCUGUCCCUUCCCCUGUUUCUGUGAGAAGUGGGUGCUGUCCACAACGGUGAGGGGCGUCGGCACAGGGUUGGGUGCUGCAGCUAUGGAGGGGCAAGAGGGUGAGGACAGUCGCAAUUAGAGGAGAGGAGACCCCCUCUGUGUUUCCUAUUUCAGGCUUUUGAUUUCUCCGCAUUGGUGAAGUCUGGGGCUGGCACAGAAGUACCUAGCGGAGAUAUGACGACACUCUGAGGGUAGGAGGAAAACUUGAGAGUGUGGAGGACAAGGGACUUUGGUGCGACAGUCGUGAAGGGCAUGGUGGGCGCAGGGCUGUGUCUCGUGUCCCCUAUGUGCCUUCUCCCACACCACCUUAGGGUCAGCAUAGCGGUGGGACAGGAGGUCACAGUGGACACUGAUGGACAUGCUGUGAGAAAAUAUGGCUCCCUUGUCAAGUUAAGACGUUUAUUCUGCCAACAGGGUUUUACUUUCCAUUUUCCCAGGGAACUGAGUGUUUGUCUGCAGGUGGAGUCAGAGGCUUGAUCUCUGUGUGUUGUGACACACAGCAGGUGACAUGACACUUGGUAGGAGGAGAGGACUCAGAUGGUUGUCUCUGGUGAAUAAUCGCUCUUGGUAGAGGUGCCCAGUCACUCUUUCGUGCUGUUGAUGAGUUGUGUCCCCAUGGAGAGAAUGAUGAAAGCGAGCUGCUGUUGCUGCUGUGAUAUUUCCACAGACCACGCAGACACUUCUUCCUUCCACCAUCACAUGACUCAAUUGCCUUUUUCAAGUCCCUCAAAAAGCGCAUGCCGGCAAUGGCCGAAUGUGGGGUGUGGGAAAUUCUGGGUCCCUGGGGAGAAAUUGGCCGUGGCCCGCCGUCAGGCUUGCGUGCUGUGACAUGAAGGUGCUGAACAGAAUGUCGUCCACCCUGCAGGGCGAUGGCAUCUUAGGAGUCAUUAGGGAUGCUGAAUUUCUGGAUGGGAGUUGGGCUGGAGCUUUAGCCAAGCGUUUGCAUGUGAGCUGUCGGCACUCUUCCGCUGAGUACACUCUGCACAUUGGUAGGAAGAGGAGAGUCACUGGGCCCUGUCCAUGAACAGUAGAUGAGGCCGUGGACAUUUAGAUCCUCAUGGAUGUGCGCAGAUGAGCCUGGAUAUCCAGGGAUGUGCCUGGUGAGCUCUCCAGGCUGGAGGAUUUUGCCCACCUAUUCUUCAUUGCUGAAUAGGACAGCAUGUAGUCAGUGGCUCUGGCUGUCCCUUCCCCUGUUUCUGUGAGAAGGUUUUGCUGCUUGGUGGUCUGCCCCUCUGCCCUUCUGGUCCUCUCACAGGGGUGGUGAUGUUGCCUUGAGGGGACCUUGUGUGCACUCUCAGGGAAGUGGGUGCUGUCCACAACGGUGAGGGGCGUCGGCACAGUGUUGGAUGCUGCAGCUAUGGAGGGGCAAGCGGAUGUGGACAGUUGCAGUUUGAGAAGAGGACGCCUCCUCUGGUUUUCCUAUAUUUCGCUGUUGAUUUCUCUCCAUUGCUGAAGUCUGAGGCGGGCACAUAAGUGCCGAGUGGAGAUAUAAGCACACUGUGAGAGUAGAAUGAAAAAUUGAGAGUGUGAAGGAAAAGGGACUUUGGUGUGACAGCUGUGAUGGGCAUCGUGGGUUCAGGGCUGUGUCUCGUGUCCCCUACAUACAUUCUCCCGCACUACCUUUGGGUCAUCUUAUCCGUGGGCCAGAAGGUCACAGUGGACACUGAUGGACGUGAUAUGAGAUAAUAUGGCUCCCUUGUCAAGUUAAGAUGUUUAUUGUGGUGACAACUGUCAUUUUCCGUUUUCCCAGCGAACUGAGUUUGUCUGCAGGUGAAGUCAGAGGGUUGAUCUCUGUGUGUUGUGACACACAAGAGGUGACAUGACACUUGGUAGGAGGAGAGGACUCUGAUCCUGUUUUAUGGCUAGUUCGUGUGCUGUCCUCUCAAAAGGGUGGAAAGAAUGUGCAAAUGUGGGCACUCCCAUACCAUUUGAAUGAUCUCCUCUAGACCCCGCGGGAUUCGAGUUUGCCCUCUCAGUCCAUCGUGCUGACUCCAGGAGCACAGUGUGUGGAUUCCCGAGGGUGGCCGGUCGGGCCAGCUCCACGUUGAUAUUUGCCUUGGCCUUCUGAGCUUCCCUUGCCUCUCCUUCUUCAUGCGCAGACCUAGCGUGCUGCUGCUUCUCCACUUCAGAGAACAGCCGUGGGCGCUGUGCAGUGAAUCCUGGGGGGAGUCACUGCCUUUCUCAGUGUCCCCCAGCAGUCAGACACAGCGGCCUUCCAGAGUGCCGAAAGGCCCGUGGUCGAGCCAGCUCUCGGAUCAACUGGGGGACUGUUGUCGUGGGGGCGUUGCUGAGCUGCCGUGUGUGAAAUAUGGUUAAAGCCGGGGACCACGCAGCUGGGCCACUUCUCCAGAGCCCAGGAGAGAUGGGCUGGGUACUGAAAGAUUUGCUACGUGUGUCCAUUCUAUGUUGUCUUCUUAUUACACAAAAUAAUAAUAAUGGUAAUUAUUAUUAUUAUUAUUAUUAUUAGAGGGUGGAAGGAAACUUUGGAGGGGAUGGGUCUGUUCAUGGCACAGGUUUUGGUAAUGGUUCACAGAUGUCUACCUAUUUCCACAGUCUUUAAAUCAUAUACAUUAAAUAUGUACAGCUCUUUUGGGUCAUUCUUUCCUUCAUCCCUCAAGAAAGUGGUUUCAGAAAAUAAUAUUAAAGGCCCACCCGUGACUACAGAUGAGCGCUCCCUCCAAAAUGUCUUUAGCUUUAGGACUGAAGGGAAGACUGCUUCUCCAUGGUUAAAGGGGUAACAGCGUUGACUGCGUGUGGAUUCUUUUGGGCCUUGGACUUUCCACUUAUAUGGAGCCUUAGCAUUGGCCGUGUGUAAGGAUAACUUUUAGUCCACAGGGUGUUGACUUUCCUAGACUCACAGCGGUUCUCCAGAACCCAUGAACUUCACCUGAAGGACUUCGACUCAGAGAUGGGGCCUGUGACAUCAGCUACUUGUCAUGUGACCAGAAAUUGAUGUCGGGGUACUGUGACUUUGGCAUUAGGUUGGACUUUGGGUUGUUUUCCUUGUUUACAACGUGUGCUUUUGUGCUUACUCAAGAAAUCUUUUGAAAUACUGUACAUGUGGAGACGUGUCCAGAUGUGUCUGUCCUGUCCGUGUAUUCUACAGGGUGACCGCCGAGGUCUCAGGCUGAGUAGCCUUUCCA